Molecule: unclassified non-coding RNA, 280 nt
Filed under: uncultured Russula
Lineage: Eukaryota; Fungi; Basidiomycota; Agaricomycetes; Russulales; Russulaceae
Description: sequence contains ITS2
Source: RNAcentral
AAUCAUCAAAGCCCUUUUCUUUGAUCCUCUCUUGGUCGGGAAAGGGAUUUUUGGACUUGGAGGUUUCAUGCUAGCUUUCAAGCUUUUGAAAGCAAGCUCCUCUCAAAUGAAUUAGUGGGGUCCGCUUUGCCGAUCCUUGACGUGAUAAAGAUGUUUCUACGUUUUGGAUUCGGCACUGUCUCUUUGGACGUCUGCUUACAACUGUCCCCUUGGACGACGAUGGUGCUCCGGUCACUGCCAUCUAUAUAUUGGUGAGAGGCUGGACCCACGAGAAAAAACC